Molecule: long non-coding RNA, 399 nt
Filed under: Mytilus galloprovincialis (Mediterranean mussel)
Lineage: Eukaryota; Metazoa; Mollusca; Bivalvia; Mytilida; Mytilidae
Source: RNAcentral
UUUUGUUACCUAAUGCUUCAUUUGUAAUGUAAUCCGGUGGAAUGGAAACUGUAGUUGAAACUAAUUUCGUUCCUUAUAGAGACAGACGAAGGCAGUUUAAAUUUGUUUGUUUGAGCUGGUUAUUUAUUCGAUAUAGUCUUAACUUGAGUUAACAUAUUCUAUCAUAUCAUCAUUCAUAUUUACUACAGGUGGUAAAUAAUAUUCCAUGUAUCGCCUCCAUUAAGUUAAAGUGCAAUUCAAAAAUUAGGAGAGAGGAUAUCAUUUAGAAUGGAAAUGGAGAAUGGGGAAUGUGUCAAAAUUACAACAACCCUUCAAAGUAGCAGAAAACAGCCUUAGGCCACCAAUGGAUUAUCAAUAAAGCGAGAAAAUCCCGUACCCUGAAAGGUGCUUCAGUUGGCC